Long non-coding RNA from Cyprinus carpio (common carp), 295 nucleotides. RefSeq lists it as uncharacterized. The transcript is spliced from 2 exons. The record is from RefSeq and is a predicted model, not a curated record. Lineage: Eukaryota; Metazoa; Chordata; Actinopteri; Cypriniformes; Cyprinidae.
CCACCAAUGUGGAAUCCACUACAGGUAUCAAAAGUGGAAAGGUGGCCUGCAUAAUUUUAAUGACAGUGUCAUUCUUGACCUCCCUUCAUGCCUACAUCUUCGAAACAUGCUACAGGCCCACACUGCUGUCGGGAGAGUGGUUCAGUGUCUGGAAGUCACUAUAGGGGAACAGUUUCCUCCAGCCAAAACAGUGCUCCAUGCCAUCUCCAUUUUGAGGCACUCACAGGUCACGAGUAUGAAUACUCUUAUGUGACAUGUGGGGAUCAUCCACCCAUUGUCAUCAUGGAUCUCCACA